AUUGAACGCUGGCGGCAUGCUUUACACAUGCAAGUCGAACGGGCUUGGGGGCUUGCUCCCAAGUUAGUGGCGAACGGGUGAGUAAUACAUCGGAACGUACCGUGUAGUGGGGGAUAACGUAGCGAAAGUUACGCUAAUACCGCAUACGAUCUACGGAUGAAAGCAGGGGACCUUCGGGCCUUGUGCUAUACGAGCGGCCGAUGUCUGAUUAGCUAGUUGGUGAGGUAAAGGCUCACCAAGGCGACGAUCAGUAGCGGGUCUGAGAGGAUGAUCCGCCACACUGGAACUGAGACACGGCCCAGACUCCUACGGGAGGCAGCAGUGGGGAAUUUUGGACAAUGGGCGAAAGCCUGAUCCAGCCAUGCCGCGUGUCUGAAGAAGGCC
This 384-nucleotide ribosomal RNA is filed under the name uncultured bacterium. RNAcentral describes it as "bacterial SSU rRNA". It matches the Rfam family "Bacterial small subunit ribosomal RNA", at positions 30 to 416 of the family's 1533-position model. The record is from RNAcentral.